AAAAAAUUAGUUAAACUUAUAACAUUAGUUUGUCAAACUAAAAUUAUUAAAAAAUUAAUAUUUUUUA
RNAcentral lists this transfer RNA (67 nucleotides) under Ochthebius deletus. RNAcentral describes it as "tRNA-Asp". The record is from RNAcentral. Lineage: Eukaryota; Metazoa; Arthropoda; Insecta; Coleoptera; Hydraenidae.